This is a long non-coding RNA of Sapajus apella (tufted capuchin), 248 nucleotides long. RefSeq lists it as uncharacterized. Lineage: Eukaryota; Metazoa; Chordata; Mammalia; Primates; Cebidae. The record is from RefSeq and is a predicted model, not a curated record. The transcript is spliced from 3 exons.
GGGUACAAAAAUACAGUUCCAUACAAUAAAUAAGAUCUAGUAUUUAAUAGCACAACAGAGUGACUACCAUUAGCAAUAAUUUGUUGUACAUUUUGAAUAACUGAGGUAGUAUAAUUGAACUGUUCAUAACAGAAAGAAAUGAGAAAUGCUCGAGGUGAUGGAUACACCGUUUACCCUGAUGUGAUUAUUAUACAUGUAUGCCUGUAUCAGAAUAUCUCAUGUUCCCCAUACAAAUAUAUGCUUCCUAU